UCUGGAAGAAUCCGGUCGAGCAUACUACCAGUUUCGAGAGCAAUUGAUGCGAGGUUGUGGUGAAGGUAUGACCACGAUCUACAACUGGUUUCAUGAUCCUGAAUGCGAGGUCCAAGACAUAGUGCGUCUCCGACAGAUGCACGAUGAGAUGGACCGCGCAGUAUUGAAGGCUUACGGUUGGGGCGAGAUCCAACUGUCCUGCGAAUUCUUUCCCGAAUU
Molecule: unclassified non-coding RNA, 219 nt
Filed under: plant metagenome
Description: partial contains 5.8S ribosomal RNA, internal transcribed spacer 2, and large subunit ribosomal RNA
Source: RNAcentral